Molecule: unclassified non-coding RNA, 303 nt
Filed under: plant metagenome
Description: partial contains 5.8S ribosomal RNA, internal transcribed spacer 2, and large subunit ribosomal RNA
Rfam family: 5.8S ribosomal RNA (bases 1-105)
Source: RNAcentral
GAAAUGCGAUAAGUAAUGUGAAUUGCAGAAUUCAGUGAAUCAUCGAAUCUUUGAACGCACAUUGUGCCCGCCAGUAUUCUGGCGGGCAUGCCUGUUCGAGCGUCAUUUCAACCAUCAAGCCCCGGGCUUGUGUUGGGGACCUGCGGCUGCCGCAGGCCCUGAAAAGCAGUGGCGGGCUCGCUGUCACACCGAGCGUAGUAGCAUACAUCUCGCUCUGGGCGUGCUGCGGGUUCCGGCCGUUAAACCACCUUCGUAACCCAAGGUUGACCUCGGAUCAGGUAGGAAGACCCGCUGAACUUAAGC